GGCGAGGAUAACGGUGACCAGAGAACUCUUCAAAGGUUUAGAUUAAUAACGAGCAAGAGGCGGGCAUUAAGACGACAGUGUGCAUACCAUGAAAUCUGCUAAACCGGAGAGGAUUAAAGAUGUUACCACGAUGGGCGGACACAUUUGGAUCAUUGCUUGCAGUACAACGUGAACUUAGUGCUAGAAAAUUAAAAAAAAAAAUUUCCACUGGAUUUAGACCAUUUAAGAGAUUACAUGAAGAAAAUACUGUACAGUACAUUCCUCUGACUUCUGGGAGCAUCUCACAUGGAACAAGUGGAGAUACAGCUGACUAUUCACCUUGGACCGAAACUGAAGAAAUAAUUCUUGGUAUCAUGGCUGAUGUCGAAUUUUUCCGGUUAAUGGGAAGAUUCUGGAAAUUGCUGCCUAACCUAACCUCGGAAUUGGUUCCCAUUUAAACAGUGGACAUUUUUCUUCAUCUGGUUUAGUCCAUUUUUACUCCUGACAUCGGGAGAGUGUUAUUGUCUUGUUAUAUUUCUUAGGGUAUUUAUUGCAGUGCAAUAAUCAGGUGUAAACAUGGACUAAACCUGUAGAUGAAGAAAAGUUUCCACUGUUUAAAUGGUCCUAUAUUUGAAAAAAUAUUACAUGUAAAUACUGUACAGUAUAUGGAUCCUCAACAGAGGCUUCAUAGGUAGUGUGCAGACAUUUGUUCACAAGGCAUAUUCUGUACUCCCAACAACAAUGGAAAGGAAGACAUGUUAGGUUAGAUUAGGUUCAUCUUGUGAGCAUGGAACCCAUAUACUGUAGGUAUAUUCGUG
Molecule: long non-coding RNA, 797 nt
Organism: Homarus americanus (American lobster)
Lineage: Eukaryota; Metazoa; Arthropoda; Malacostraca; Decapoda; Nephropidae
Exons: 3
Source: RefSeq, a predicted model, not a curated record